RNAcentral lists this unclassified non-coding RNA (252 nucleotides) under uncultured Paenibacillaceae bacterium. RNAcentral's name for it is "contains 16S-23S intergenic spacer region". It matches the Rfam family "Bacterial small subunit ribosomal RNA", at positions 524 to 776 of the family's 1533-position model. Lineage: Bacteria; Bacillati; Bacillota; Bacilli; Caryophanales; Paenibacillaceae. The record is from RNAcentral.
UACGUAGGGGGCAAGCGUUGUCCGGAAUUAUUGGGCGUAAAGCGCGCGCAGGCGGCGAUCUAAGUCUGAUGUUUAAACUCGGGGCUUAACCCCGAGACGCAUGGGAAACUGGAUGGCUUGAGUGCAGGAGAGGAAAGUGGAAUUCCACGUGUAGCGGUGAAAUGCGUAGAGAUGUGGAGGAACACCAGUGGCGAAGGCGACUUUCUGGCCUGCAACUGACGCUGAGGCGCGAAAGCGUGGGGAGCGAACAGG